This 288-nucleotide ribosomal RNA is filed under the name Triticum aestivum (bread wheat). RNAcentral describes it as "partial small subunit ribosomal RNA". The record is from RNAcentral. Lineage: Eukaryota; Viridiplantae; Streptophyta; Magnoliopsida; Poales; Poaceae.
AUGUUGAGGUAUGAUCUCGAGGACCAGCUCUCGGCCAUCUACACUGAUGAGGAGGCCUACUGGCGGAUGCACGGCACCCAACGUUGGGUGCUUCAGGGCGACGCCAACACGGCCUACUUCCAGGCGAUUGCCAACGGCCGGCGGCGCCGCAACUCCAUUCAUUCCUUGUGGGCGGGUGACUCUCAGCUUUUUCGACCCUCGGAUAUCCGCGCGCACGUAGAUGGCUUUUAUAAAGCCCUUUUUACCCCCACCCCUCGGGGUGGGGCUGCACUGGCCCCCGACACCUGG